Molecule: long non-coding RNA, 516 nt
Organism: Sorghum bicolor (sorghum)
Lineage: Eukaryota; Viridiplantae; Streptophyta; Magnoliopsida; Poales; Poaceae
Exons: 2
Source: RefSeq, a predicted model, not a curated record
CUGUAGGAAAAUUAUGCAUGCACCCCAAAGGGCUCAUACCUCUUAUUUGCUAAAUAAGUUUAAUAAUCAUAUAUUAUUAGUGUGCUGGAAAUUUUUGAAUAGUAUAUCUAUUACAGGUAUUAACAGUAGCAUUUAUUUUGAGCAGACAUUGAGAAAGCAAGGGUGGAAACUGAGAUUUUAGAAAACUCAGUUUGCUAGUUUCUACUUCAACUGGAAAGGCUUGAGGGCAGUGCAAAAUAAGAAUUGGUGGAUAAACAACAUUGGCAAAGCGAAGGAAGGAACAUCAUUCAAGUUGGCUGCAUUGCUUAUUGCUGCAUGGUGGAUAGACAAUGUUGCCUGUAUGACUUAGUGUUUUUCUAAAAUGUGUGUAAAUGGCAUCUUUGUAUCUUUGUAUCUUUGUAUACAUAAACAAAUUCUUCCAAAUGGUUGUAAUAUCCAUGUGAGUGCGAUAAGAAAUUAUUAUCAUCUUGAUAUUUGCCAUUCAAUAAAUGGGCCACCUUUGAUUUUAGUCUCUUA